CUCGUAGGUGGUCUGCUACGUCCGCUGUGAAAACCUAGGGCUUAACCCUGGGCUUGCAGUGGAUACGGGCAGACUAGAGGUAGGUAGGGGAGAAUGGAAUUCCCGGUGUAGCGGUGAAAUGCGCAGAUAUCGGGAGGAACACCGGUGGCGAAGGCGGUUCUCUGGGCCUUACCUGACACUGAGGAGCGAAAGCGUGGGGAGCGAAACA
Molecule: ribosomal RNA, 208 nt
Filed under: uncultured bacterium
Lineage: Bacteria
Description: partial 16S ribosomal RNA
Rfam family: Bacterial small subunit ribosomal RNA
Source: RNAcentral